CCGGCCAUUGGAUGGGUUGGAGCACGAGGCAGCGCUCCCGUCGCUAUGCGGUGGAGCUGCGCAGGAGGGUGAGGAGGUUGGCGACAGGGAACCGGGCCGGGGAGGAGGCAAGGUAUGUGCUAUCCUGUGUUUUUCUCUUUGCAUUUUUCUCCUACUGUGCAUUUGUUUCUGUUCAUUGUUGGAGUGGAUUCAUGGCAACAAACUUUCUCUAAAUAAUAAGUGCAAAGAUAUGUAUAUUAACAAAUGGAUGAGAGCUGUUUAGAGAAAGAUUUGAGCCAUACAUGCGACAGGUUCUGAGAGUAUGUAAAAGUAAUUGGAAUAUUUUCAAUUGCAAAUCAUUCCCUAAUAUUAUGGUUAAUUAGUUAUUUCUGGUUUUUGUCCACUGACACUCAUUUCGGAUGUAGUAUGAGCGGGUGCGUCAGGAAGCAGCUCUGAAUAUGGUUCCCGUAGAUGAAGAUGCCUUUCUGUUGGAUUUGCUUUUCUUGUUUAAGCAAUCAUUCAGGUUAUCGAAACACUCGUGUGCCUCUUUUCUUCAGUCAUUACUAAUGAUGAGUGUCGUGUGUCUGAUUUGAGGAAAAUGGUUUAGAGUAAUUACUUGUGGGAGGAUCGCUGGGUGGUAGCUGAGUGAUAGGGUUCAGAUUAGGGUUUACGAGUAUGAAGUAGAUGUGAUAGAUUGUAACUCUUCUCAUUUGAUUAAUUCAUCUCAAGAGGUCCUCUUUAUAUAUAGAGGCCUAACAAUUCAAAAACUAAUACGUACCUAUAAUCAUCCUUACAUGCAUACAUGCAUGCGUCGCUCUGGAGCCAAAAACUAAAUACGAGUAUGCAGGUUGCAGUCCCUUGUUCUACAUAUAACUUGCCAACUCUACUAAUUCAUGUAUCAGUAUAUGCAUAUAUGUAGUCCAUUCCUAGCGCAUGUGUUCGGAAGACUGGAUGCUUGUACUUACUCGAAAUUUUCUUUUAAUAAAAAGUUCAUUGGAAGAGAUUGCAAAGUUUAACAAGCAUGUCCCUUUUACAUCUAUUCACAGUGUGUCUUCUAUUGGUUUCACCACAUUUUUAGGUUCACAUUUUUUACAGGUUGCGUAUAGUAUAGGAGGCAUUGGUGAUGAAACAUGAAUGUCCAUUGAUCUUGUCCGCUCCUGAUCUCAGUAGACCUGUGUGAUGUGCUCUUGAUCCUUUCUCUCUUUUCUCGUUAAAAGAAUCUCAGACUGAGGAGAGCAUGUUCUUUAAUUAGGUUGCAAUCGUGAAACUUCUUUUGGUUUUUCUUAUUGUACAAUACGAAGCUUCCAAGUUGUUUGGUCCUGGAAAUAAGUUACCAAAUUUCUGUGUGCCGUGAGCUGGGAGCCGGGGUCAUCCCUCUCACCACCAGUCGAACAUACUACUUCAGCCACCAUGUCGAGCGAUAUAAAAGUGUUCUCUAUUUCAUAGAGCAACAACACAAGAUUGUGCCUCCUCUUGCUCCUGGUGCAUGUUGCUGCGCUCCUUUCUCCUCUGAUUUGACUUGCUUUACAUUGUGUGAAGUUGUUUACUUUCAACUUUACAAAGCUAUAUCAAGUUCGCAACUGUACUUGGCUACACCUGUAACAUAAUGCAUUUCUCUUCCAGUUUAUCGAAUAUAUUUUUAAGGAUUGAAUGUUCUAUCUGGUACUGUCCUAUCACACAUUUAACUAUCUUAAUUUGUUCACAAACCUCCUUCUGUAGUUACGAUUUCUUUGUACAACACGUACUAAUUAUUGGUCUUAUUCUUAAAUCUUAUUUCACGUUAUUCAGCUGCAGGCUGGGUUAAGAUUGUUUUUGUGCCAGAAACAGACUAGGCAAUGCUCUAACUUGGCAGCAAAAAUUGUCUAAAUUUCAUAAAUAAGGUCGUGGAAUAUCUUUGAAUAAGUUCAUUUGAAUAUCUUGAGUUGACCUGUAUGGGUUGCUUCUGUGCACACUUUCUUUGAUAUGAAUUUCUAGGAGAGAAAUUCUUUCAUGGUAAUGAUGUAUUAUCAAUAUUUACUCUGUUCUUAGGCCUAUAGGUUUCUUUUUGUGGGAUGCAAUUACGGUACCAUGUGAAUAUGAUCCUUGAGUCGCAUAUUAUUGCCCUUUUGGACAUAGACAUGUGCCAUGUAGUAUAACAUUUAUAAAGAAUGUCUUGGAAAUUGCAAGUAGAUGAUUACGGUUACCCUAUAACUUUAGGAGUAAGAUAUAUAUGGUGAUAGAAUCUAGAGAUACUUGUUAAUCUAUAACAAUAAGAUCCAGUCACCUGCAAUAUGUUUUAUUCACAUAAACAGGGAAUCAAUCUGGCUGGAAGUAGUCAUCUUAUGGCGUGGCAUGAAGAGGUAGUUCACAAACCUCUGUUAGGUGCUCCAUCCUUUGUCACUCUGGUUUGAUUUCCUAAUAUCUGGCUUCUCUGAACAGAUGUGUGCAGAUCUGAGAAAGAAGAGGAAUAAUCCAGCAGAAGAAUUUGGUGAAUAAGAACAAGUUGGCAUUUCUCUCUUGUGAACACAGUCGUGCCUGCCUUUGGAUUUUAUUAUUUGUGCUAAUGCAAACAUGAAUUCUCUAUAGUUGUUUGCGCAGCACCGCUAAUUACUCAAUCUGCAAUACAUGAUUAUUUCUGUGAGAAGUUUAGUGCAUGAAUUAGCAUUCUGUGAAGUCUGUCUAAGCUCUUGUCUUUAGGCCUAGAUAGAUUUCUCAAUAUCAUUUUGGGAUUGUUUGAACACUGAACAACAUUGCCAGGUCAACCAUUUCUCAUGUCUUUGUCAUAUAUAUAGGUAUUGUGGUGUCUCAAUUUUGUCGCCAACCUCUUUCACCGGCCCGUAAACUAUCUGUCUCGAGGUUUCCCCAUCUGUAUUUGGGUUUCGAAAAACAAAUAACUGUUUUUGGACUUAUUUUCGCAUCAGCUACUUUGUAGGUAUUAUGUGCGUUGUCAGGGAUCUGAUAUCAUGUAGUUCCAGGGAUUUCAGAAGGCCUGGUCUGCCCAUUGUUCUUGCCAUGUGUUACUUUUUCUCAUUACUGUGAUCAUCAGUUCUCUUGACAUCUGUUGUUCUUGCUUUAUGGUUGUCUUCCCAGUGCACUUUUAUUAGUUCUAACAUAUUAAUUUUAAUAUGCUUGAUUGACCAUAUUAUAUAUUUCACUUCACCGGGAUGGUUGCUGGAAGUGUUGGUUAAAGUAUUUUGGUUAUAACAUUAGGUCUCUAAUUAUCAAGUUUAUACAGUUGAAUCUUCUUGAUUGACUAUUUUGUAGCCUGCUCUUAGUUAGUACAGAUGGUUUUUUGCCUUGGCAUUACUACCGCUAUGUACAGAUGGUUACUGAAAGAAGGAUUCAAGCAGCAUACCUACACUUGACAAAUGCUUUAACCGCAAGAACUGAUGUUAUUUUAUUUUGCUUUUCUGCAAUGAUGGUAGUUCUCAUUUGAUUCUAGAACCCGCAAAGGAAGGGUAGAGAUUUCCAUUGUUGUUGAAUUGGUGGGAUUGUCACCAAGUUAGUGUUGCAGAUUGUUUCUGUUUUAGAGCAAGAAGCCAAAUCAUGUUGUUCAUUGUAAAUCUUGAAAAACUUGUUUACUGUCACGUCUAUAUCUAUUAUAAACUUUCGUUCCUGGUGUGGUACUUACCAAUCUUGGUUCGCCCUUCCAUUGCAGGAGACCAAUAUUUCUUUGUUUCUUCAAAAGAAAAUCUCAUUCCAUGUUUGCACUUCUAUUAUAGUAGAACAUGCCAUAAACAUGGCGCUGGGCAUUAUUUGUCCAGUUCCCUUCAAAAAGAAGAGAUGACUAUAGAGAGUGGCUGCAUCACUGAAGAGAUGACAAACGUUGUGCAAGGCAUUGUUUGUUUAGCUCUUUUCAAAAAUUAAGAAGUUACAAUGCAUGUGACAGAUAAAGAGGUUGUAGGUUGUGAAGGACAAAAUUCUAUGGAUCCAGAGGAGUGGGAGGGGAGAGUUUACCAACAUGUACAAGACAAGCGUGAAGCGGGACUUUGGAUUAAUUGCUAACAUAGCAAAAUUUUGUAGAUAGAAUGCCCGCAUUUUGAAAACUCUAUUGCAUAGUUUGUGGCUAUGUUUAUUUCAAUUUUCAUUAGUAAAAGGAUCCUUAUUAUUGUCAAAUUUUCAAGUAUUUAUUUUCAAAUAACUCUUGGCUUGAAUUGAGACUUUGCAUCAUUCGGCGCAACAGGUAAUGUUAUUAUACAUCUUAUUGUAGACAACAAACCACCCAUUCUUAUUAUAGACAGCAAGCCUUCAUUAUAUUUUUAUUAAGGUGGGUUAAUUUG
RNAcentral lists this long non-coding RNA (4238 nucleotides) under Triticum aestivum (bread wheat). RNAcentral's name for it is "long non-coding RNA (TAES_LNC022480)". Lineage: Eukaryota; Viridiplantae; Streptophyta; Magnoliopsida; Poales; Poaceae. The record is from RNAcentral.